GCUUGCUUUGGCAACACAUAUACUAAAACUGGAAUACAGAGAAGAUUAGCAUGGCCCCUGCGCAGGAUGACAUGCAGAUUUGUGAUGCAUUCCACUUUUUU
Molecule: small nuclear RNA, 101 nt
Organism: Macaca fascicularis (crab-eating macaque)
Lineage: Eukaryota; Metazoa; Chordata; Mammalia; Primates; Cercopithecidae
Source: Ensembl